This 474-nucleotide ribosomal RNA is filed under the name uncultured bacterium. RNAcentral's name for it is "bacterial SSU rRNA". It matches the Rfam family "Bacterial small subunit ribosomal RNA", at positions 8 to 526 of the family's 1533-position model. The record is from RNAcentral.
AGAGUUUGAUCCUGGCUCAGAACGAACGCUGGCGGCAGGCUUAACACAUGCAAGUCGAACGGUUAUAGCAAUAUAGCAGUGGCGCACGGGUGAGUAACGCGUGGGAACGUGCCUUUUGGUUAGGAAUAACGUCGGGAAACUGACGCUAAUACCUGAUACGCCCUCCGGGGGAAAGAUUUAUCGCCAAAAGAUCGGCCCGCGUUAGAUUAGGUAGUUGGUGGGGUAAUGGCCUACCAAGCCUACGAUCUAUAGCUGGUCUGAGAGGAUGACCAGCCACACUGGAACUGAGACACGGUCCAGACUCCUACGGGAGGCAGCAGUGGGGAAUAUUGGACAAUGGGGGAAACCCUGAUCCAGCCAUGCCGCGUGAGUGAUGAAGGCCUUAGGGUUGUAAAGCUCUUUUGUCAGGGAAGAUGAUGACGGUACCUGAAGAAUAAGCACCGGCUAACUUCGUGCCAGCCGCCGCGGUAAUUC